RNAcentral lists this ribosomal RNA (449 nucleotides) under uncultured bacterium. Its description in RNAcentral is "partial 16S ribosomal RNA". It matches the Rfam family "Bacterial small subunit ribosomal RNA", at positions 29 to 523 of the family's 1533-position model. The record is from RNAcentral.
AACGAACGCUGGCGGCAGGCCUAACACAUGCAAGUCGAACGCUCUAGCAAUAGAGAGUGGCAGACGGGUGAGUAACGCGUGGGAACCUUCCCAAUGGUGCAGAAUAGCCCAGGGAAGCUUGGGGUAAUACUGCAUAAGCCCUUCGGGGGAAAGAUUUAUCGCCAUUGGAUGGGCCCGCGUCGGAUUAGCUAGUUGGUGAGGUAAUGGCUCACCAAGGCAACGAUCCGUAGCUGGUUUGAGAGAAUGACCAGCCACACUGGGACUGAGGCACGGCCCAGACUCCUACGGGAGGCAGCAGUGGGGAAUCUUGGACAAUGGGCGCAAGCCUGAUCCAGCCAUGCCGCGUGAGUGACGAAGGCCUUAGGGUUGUAAAGCUCUUUUGCCGGGGACGAUAAUGACGGUACCCGGAGAAUAAGUCCCGGCUAACUUCGUGCCAGCCGCCGCGGUAA